AUAGCGAACAAGUACCGUGAGGGAAAGAUGAAAAGAACUUUGAAAAGAGAGUUAAAUAGUACGUGAAAUUGUUGAAAGGGAAACGAUUGAAGCCAGUCGUACCUGCGGAAAAUCAGCCUUUCGAGUGUGAUUCUGUGGAGCGUGAGGAGUUAAACGCCUUCAUGCCUGCUUAUUCGUGUACUUUGUUUGUACUUGCCUGUGCGUAUGGUUAACCUAAGUUUGGGUUAUCUAAAAUUGAAUGAAGGAAGGAAUGUUCCUU
RNAcentral lists this ribosomal RNA (259 nucleotides) under uncultured Glomeromycotina. Its description in RNAcentral is "partial 26S ribosomal RNA". It matches the Rfam family "Eukaryotic large subunit ribosomal RNA", at positions 337 to 547 of the family's 3401-position model. Lineage: Eukaryota; Fungi; Glomeromycota. The record is from RNAcentral.